GACGAUGCCGGGGAGCGCUCGGCCGAUAGCGGCAAGUUGAUGUCGGGCGGGCCGGCCAGCUGGCGCUGAAUCGUCAACUCCCGGUCACACUCGUCAUGGUGAGGGGACGGCGCCGAAGGGCCGCCUGCGGGGUCCAUGGAAAGGAGGGUGGAGGGGUGGUGGUUCUCCAUGGACAGGGUGGUCAGGAGGGACUCCCCCAUGCCAGUUUCUUCGUGUUUUCGCCUGUCUUGCCGACCUUACCGCCUCCGACGCCUCCUCGACCGCCGCCGCUAUCUGU
This 277-nucleotide unclassified non-coding RNA is filed under the name Hevea brasiliensis (rubber tree). Lineage: Eukaryota; Viridiplantae; Streptophyta; Magnoliopsida; Malpighiales; Euphorbiaceae. The record is from RNAcentral.